GGCCUGAUGGUCUAGUAGUAUGAUUCUCCCUUCGGGUUAAACACCCGCCCUUCGUAGGGCUCGCUUGGGAGAGGUCCCGGGUUCAAUUCCCGGUCAGGCCC
This is a non-coding RNA of Marasmius sp. AFHP31, 101 nucleotides long. The record is from the annotation of a GenBank genome assembly. Lineage: Eukaryota; Fungi; Basidiomycota; Agaricomycetes; Agaricales; Marasmiaceae.